AAUCUGUUAACCGAACGGCAUGGGAAGGCCGGUCAGAGAGUGUGAGAACCACGUAGGUGAAAACGGAGAGAGCUGCGCAGGAUCCAGAGUACGGCCAGACACGUGAAACCUGGUCGGAAUACGGGGGGACCACCCUCCAACCCUAAAUACUACCCAGUGACCGAUAGCGUAUAGUACUGUGAAGGAAAGGUGAAAAGCACCCCGGGAGGGGAGUGAAAAAGAACCUGAAACCCUGUGCCUACAAGCACCUAGAGCGCGUCAAAGCGUGAUAGGGUACUUUUUGUAGAACGGUCCGGCGAGCGAUUGUAUGCAGCAAGGUUAAGGACUUAAGGUCUGGAGCCGAAGCGAAAGCGAGUUUGAAAAGGGCGUUAAGUUGCAUAUAAUGGGCCCGAAACCGGGUGACCUACCCAUGGUCAGGUUGAAGUGGAAGUAAAAUUCCAUGGAGGACCGAACCGACCUCCGUUGAAAAGGCGGCGGAUGAACUGUGGGUAGCGGAGAAAUUCCAAUCGAACCCGGAGAUAGCUGGUUCUCCCCGAAAUAGUUUUAGGACUAGCCUCAAGUUAGAUACCUGGAGGUAAAGCACUGAAUAGCCUAGCGGCCGAGAGGUUAGCGAAGCUUAUCAAACUCAGAAUGCCAGAGUAUUGAUGCUUGGGAGUCAGACAGUGUCAGAUAAAUGUCAUUGUCAAAAGGGAAACAGCCCAGAUCUACAGCUAAGGUCCCAAAGUCAGGUUAAGUGGAAAACGAUGUGAAGAUACGUAGACAACCAGGAUGUUGGCUCAGAAGCAGCCACACAUUCAAAGAGUGCGUAAUAGCUCACUGGUCGAGCGUCUUUGCGCGGAGAAUUUAACGGGGCUAAACCUGACACCGAAGCUUAGGCAAUCCAGCAAUGGAUUGGGUAGGGGAGCGUUGUAUACGCGGAGAAACAGUAGCGUAAGCGGCUGUGGAGUGUAUAGAAGUGAGAAUGCCGGAAUGAGUAGCGCGAAUGCAGUGAGAAUCUGCAUGGCCGAAAGCCUCAGGUUUUUGGAGGAAGGUUCGUCCGCUCCAAGUUAGUCGGGAGCUAAGGUGAGGCCGGAAGGCGUAGCCGAUGCACAGACGGUAGAGAUUCCGUCACCACCAAAAGAGUUAAGCACAGGGACACAUUUGAAGUCUCGGAGCCGGGUGUUGGUUCCGGUAGCGAUCGAGGGAAGUUAGUACCGAAGUCUGGGAUGGAAGAUGGCGAGAAAAGCUGUGUGUAUUUCUGCGGUGCCCGUACCGCAAACCGACACAGGUAGGUAGGAAGAAGAUUCUAAGGCCAACGGGAGAAGGGUUGUUAAGGAAC
RNAcentral lists this ribosomal RNA (1318 nucleotides) under Streptococcus infantis. RNAcentral's name for it is "partial 23S ribosomal RNA". It matches the Rfam family "Bacterial large subunit ribosomal RNA", at positions 323 to 1713 of the family's 2925-position model. The record is from RNAcentral. Lineage: Bacteria; Bacillati; Bacillota; Bacilli; Lactobacillales; Streptococcaceae.